Molecule: ribosomal RNA, 868 nt
Filed under: uncultured bacterium
Lineage: Bacteria
Description: bacterial SSU rRNA
Rfam family: Bacterial small subunit ribosomal RNA
Source: RNAcentral
AGGAUAACGCUGGGCGGCGUGCCUAACACAUGCAAGUCGAACGACCUUGUUGUCGCAAGAGAGCGAGGGAGUGGCGGACGGGUGAGUAACACAUGGGUGACCUGGCCUGAAGAGAGGGGAUACCGGCGAGAAAUGGCCGACAAGCCGGCAUUGAGUUUUUUUUUGGUAGAGCGGCGAGAGCAUAGUUUCUUUUUCGGAAGAGACGCUUUAGGAUGGGCCUGUGGCCGAUUAGCUAGUUGGUGAGGUAAGAGCUCACCAAGGCGUCGAUCGGUAGCUGGUCUGAGAGGACGAUCAGCCACACUGGGAUUGAGAACGGCCCAGACUCCUACGGGGGGCAGCAGUGAGGAAUUUUCCGCAAUGGGGGUAACCCUGACGGAGCAACUCCGCGUGCAGGAGGACGCUUUUCGGAGUGUAAACUGUUUUCUGUGGGAAGAGCUACGGACGGUCCACAGGAAGAAGCCCCGGCUAACUACGUGCCAGCAGCCGCGGUAAUACGUAGGGGGCGAGCGUUGUCCGGAGUUACUGGGCGUAAAGGGCACGCAGGCGGUCGUACGCGUUUCGGGUGACAGCGGGUGGCUUAACUGCCCGAGUGUUCGAAAGACGGUACGACUUGAGGGCUCGAGAGGGACACGGAAUUCCGGGUGGAGUGGUGAAAUGUGUAGAGAUCCGGAGGAACACAGAAGGCGAAGGCAGUGUCCUGGCGAGUGACUGACGCUGAGGUGCGAAAGCCAGGGGAGCGAACGGGAUUAGAUACCCCGGUAGUCCUGGCCGUAAACGAUGACCACCAGGUGUGGGAGGUAUCGACCCCUUCCGUGCCGGAGUUAACACACUAAGUGGUCCGCCUGGGGAGUACGGUCGCAAGAUUAAA